UGCCAUUUUAUGAUUGAUUCCGCCCAUCUCCUAUCUCCGUCCUUUGUUCUUAGUCGCAUGUCCAUGUUCUCUUCUCAUGUUUCUUGUCCCUUUUCAUAACCUCCUUCAUCCAUGUUCCUUGUCUCUUGUUCCAAACUCCUCCUCCUCUUCCCCCUAUCCUUGUUUUCUAUCUUUUAUUCUUUGUCCUUUGUUCCAAAUUCCUCA
RNAcentral lists this long non-coding RNA (204 nucleotides) under Physcomitrium patens. RNAcentral describes it as "long non-coding RNA (PPAT_LNC010291)". The record is from RNAcentral. Lineage: Eukaryota; Viridiplantae; Streptophyta; Bryopsida; Funariales; Funariaceae.